Loxodonta africana (African savanna elephant) is the source of this 5792-nucleotide long non-coding RNA. RefSeq lists it as uncharacterized. The record is from RefSeq and is a predicted model, not a curated record. Lineage: Eukaryota; Metazoa; Chordata; Mammalia; Proboscidea; Elephantidae. The transcript is spliced from 3 exons.
UUUUUUUUUUUAAUCUUGGUUUAUAUUUGUGAUUUCCCUGUCUGGGUUGACUUCUGGUUGCUCUGUCCUGUGUUCUAGCCUUGGGUUGAUAUCCGAUAUUAUUGGUUUUCUCACCAGAGAACUCCCUUUAGUAUUUCUUGUAGUUUUGGUUUGGUUUUUAUGAAUUCCCUAAACUUCUGUUUAUCUGGAAAUGUCCUAAUUUCGCCUUCAUAUUUGAGAGACAGUUUUGCUGGAUAUAUGAUUCUUGGCUGGCAUUUUUUUUUCCUUCAGUGCUUUAUGUAAGUCAUCUCAUUGCCUUCUUGCCUGCAUGGUUUCUGCUGAGUAGUCCGAGCUUAUUCUUUCUGACCCUCCUUUGUAGGUGACUUUUAGUUUAUCUCUAGCCGCUCUUUAAAUUCUCUCUUUAUCCUUGGUUUUGGCAAGUUUGAUUAUAAUAUGUUUUUUGGUGACUGUCUUUUGAGAUCUACCUUAUGUGGACUUCGAUGAGCAUCGUGGAUAGAUGCCAACAAAUCUUCAACAAUUCUCUCAGUAUUUUCUGCAUUUAUGUUCAUGAGAGAUAUUGCUCUGUAAUUUUUGUGUGUGUGUGUGAUGUCUUUACCUGGUUUUGGAGUCAGGGGUAUGCUGGCUUCAUAGAAUGAGUUUGGGAGUAUUUCAUCAUUUUCUGAAAUACCUUUAGUAGUAGUGGUGUUAACUCUUCUCUAAAACUUUGGUAGAAUUUUCCAGUGAAGCUGUCAAGGCCAGGGCUUUUUUUUGUUGUUGUUGGGAGUUUUUUUUUUUAGUUGCCUUUUCAAUCUCUUCUUUUGUUAUGUUUUUGUUAGUUGUUCUACCUCUGUUUGUGUUAGUCUAGGUAGGUAGUGUGUUUCUAGGAAUUCAUUUCUUCUAGGUUUUCACAUUUGUUAGAGUACAGUUUUUCAUAGCAAUCUGAUAUGAUUCUUUUAAUUUCAGUUGGGUCUGUUGUAAUAUCACCCAUGUCAUUUCUUCUUUGGGAUAUUUGCUUCCUCUCCUGUUUUUCUUUUGUCAGUUUGACCAAUGGUUUAUCAAUUUUGUUAUUUUUUUCAGAGAACCAGCUUUUGGUCUUGUUAAUUCUUUCAAUUGUUUUUCUGUUUUCUAUUUCAUUUAGUUCAGCUCUAAUUUUUAUUAUUUGUUUUCUUCUGGUGCCUGAUGGAGUCUUUUGUCGCUCACUUUCUAUUUGUUCAAGUUGUAGGGACAGUUCUCUGCUUUUGGCUCUUUCUUCUUUUUGUAUGUGUGCAUUUAUCGAUAUAAAUUGGCCUCUGAGCGCCGCUUUUGCUGUGUCCCAGAGGUUUUGAUAGGAAGUGUUUUCAUUCUCAUUGCAUUCUCUGAAUUUCUUUAUUCCAUCCUUAACGUCUUCUAUAAUCCGGACUUUUUUGAGCAGGGUAUUGUUCAGUUUCCAAGUGUUUGAUUUCUUUUCCCUGCUUUUCCUGUUAUUGAUUUCCACUUAUGGUGGCGUAGUGGUUAAGUGCUACGGCUGCUAACCGAGAGGUCAGCAGUUCAGAUCCACCAGGUGCUCCUUGGAAACCCUAUGGGGCAGUUCUAGUGUGUCCUAUAGGGUCACUAUGAGUCGGAAUCGACUCGACGGCAGUGGGUUUUUUUGGUGUUUUAUGGCCUUAUGGUCAGAGAAGACGCUUUGUAAUAUUUCAAUGUUUUGGAUUCUGCUAAGGCUCGCUUUAUGACCUAAUAUGUGGUCUAUUCUCGACAAUGUUCCAUGUGCACUAGAAAAGAAAGUAUACUUGGUUGCUGUUGGGUGGAGUGUUCUGUAUAUGUCUACCAGGUCAAGUUGGUUGAUUGUGGCAUUUAGAUCUUCCGUGUUUCUAUUGAGCGUCUUUCCGGAUGUCCUGUUCUUCGCCGAAAGUGGUGUGUUGAAGUCUCCUACUAUUAUUGUGGAGCUGUCUAUCUCACUUUUCAAUGCUGAUAGGGUUUAUGUAUCUUGCAGCCCUGUCAUUGAGUGCAUAAAUAUUUAAUAUGGUUAUAUCUUCUUGGUGUAGUGCCCCUUUAAUCAUUAUAUAGUGUCCUUCCUUAUCCUUUCUGAUGGAUUUAACUUUAAAGUCUAUUUUGUCAGAAAUUAAUAUUGCCACUCCUGCGCUUUUUUGAUUGUUGUUUGCUUGAUAUAUUUUUUUCCAUCCUUUGAGUUUUAGUUUGUUUCUGUCCCUGAGUCUAAGUUGUGACUCUUGUAGGCAGCAUAUAGACGGAUCAUGUUUUUUAAUCGAGCCUGAGACUCUCUGUGUCUUUGGAAGCCCUGGUGGCGUAGUGGUUAAGUGCUGCAGCUGCUAACCAAGAGGUCGGCAGUUCAAAUCCACCAGGCGCUCCUUGGACAGUCUGUGGGGCAGUUCUGCUCUGUCCUGUAGGGUCACUAUGAGUCGGAAUCGACUCGAUGGCAUAGGGUUUGGUUUUGGUUUGGUGCCUUUAUUGGGCUUCUUUCUGGGUGUCCUGUCUCCUUUACCAAAACAAAGCGGUGUGUUGAAGUCUCCUACUAGUAUUGUGGCGCUCUCUAUCUCACUUUUCAAUACUGUUAGAGUUUGUUUUACUGUUACUCAGCCUGGAAGCCACACAGCAUUACUUUCACUGUACUCCAUUGCUGUAGCAGCCACAAGCCCACCCACAUUCAACGGGAGGAGACAAAGACUGCUCCUCUCAGUGGAGGCUGUCAAGGUCUCCCUGUAGAAGAGUAUGUGGGAUGGAGCUCUUGUUGUGUCUAUCCUUGGGAAAUACACUCUGCCACACUGUGGUUAUUAUUACCAUUUGUACAUGUCUAGAAAUGAUGGUGAAUCCAUUCUCUCGACUCUCUCCAGGUGCUUUGCUUUCUAAAGCUGUGUUGGUAGACCGUGAGCCACACGUGAGUUUUGCAUAUCUUUUUUACCACGUGGUUUACAGUGGUAGUGAUUGGUGCCUUGAAGUCAUGAGCUGUGCAUCUACUACCACCUUCUGACAGUAGAUCGUAAUUGCAGAUUUGGUUUAAACCUCUUUCCUUGGAUCCAACAAAUAAUUGCUCACAAAGCAGGUGAGAACACUGUCACUUGUCCUCAUCUAGAAAAUGGGGAUAACGACAGCAUCUCCUACACAGGGUGGUUUGUAGAUUGAAUGAGUCAAUACCUAUACUCACACCAAACGGGCCAGCACAUGGUGUUACACUCGAAAAUUUGUUAUGAUUCAUGCUAGGACCCAGGGCCGAUGGUUAAAAUUCAUGGGGCAUGCCGGGUUUGAGAGGGAACAUGAAGGACAAAUGGAAUAGACUGAAAACUGAAAUCUCUAGCAAACAAGCUGUCCUCCAGGGCCCGGCACACGGGAGUCACUGGAGGGUGCUGGCUGAAUGAGUGGGUGAAGAAGGCGACAGCAGAAAUGCAGACCAAGCUGGAAACCUGUCACAUCCUGCUCACAGACAGCCCCUUCCCCACAUGAAGGGGAGAGGAAGAGGAGGCAUCUUUGAUCAGACACAGGAGUCACUGUCACCAUGUGGAGACCUUCUUCCAGCUGAGGAGACUCCUCAGGGCCCCCUUCACGUCCUUAUUCCUUAGGCUGUGAAUGAAGGGGUGGAGCGUGGGUGCCACCAACUCAUCAGAGCAAAGAGGAAGAACUGGCAGAGGAGACUGAGGAUCAACAUGUGGUGAGGAGGGGGAGAAACGGAGAGUGUGCAGUGGCAUUCUGGAGCAAGGCUGAGGUCCCCAGGUGUCAGGAGGUGGAGUGAUCAGUUGUCACGUGAUGCUGAAGGGUCAUGUACGAGGAGGUCUGGGAACCCACCCUGGGUUUAGUAAUGAGACGGCGGUGGUUUGAGGGGAGGUGAGGGUGCUAGGAGGGACUGGGAAGUGAGGAAUUGGGGACAGAGAGCCCAGACAACCCUUGCGAGGGGUGGCACUCUGGCUGUGAAGAAGAGGAGGAGAAAGUGCUCUAGGUGGAGGGGGACCUGGGGUCCAGGAGAGGCUGGUGGGUUGUGAAGAAGUGAGAGGUUGGAGCCGUUCAGGUGCUCACAGGGGCUGUCGGGUACAAGGGAGCACUGACUUGUGUGGGAGAGAAGAGUUUACCUGGCGGGGAGGGGGCUGUGCACACGGGAACCUGCCUCUCCCCCAAGCCUCACUCCAGGGGACCCUUCCUUCCCCCACCCCAGAUUCUGAGUGCCAUGGACUGAGAUGCCUCUUGUCGAAAGCAGAAGUUGUGCCAGAAGCUGGAACAGACGUCCAACAACAGCUCAGGGUGGUGCAGUUGGGUCUGCUGAUCCAGCAACUCCAGCCAGAAGGGCCAGCAAUGCUCUUUGCCGUGAUACAAACACAAAGGUAUGUUCUCGCGCACGUCCUGGUAAACGACCAACGGGAACUCCAGUCCCAGAUGACAUGCAAAAUUGAGGGAACUCGAUGACCACAAACUGCACAACAGAACGCUCAUUUUCGUCGCUAAAGAGACUAAAAAACCCUUAGCAUACAACGAUGAUUCAAGAAAGACUGGACUCAUUACCCUUAUUAUGUACGGAAGUGGACAUUGUUCGGCAGCUUAAUUGGGAUGAAAUCAUUGAAGAAUUUGUAAGAGCAAAGAAUAAAAAGAAAUGUUUUUAAUUAUAACGUGUUAGAGACGAAAGAUCUAAAAACAAAAUACAGGAAUUUGUUAUAAUAUUUGUUUUCUGAUCAUUAAAUUUUUCUUUUGUGACAUCUUUUCAUUUGUUCACUUAUAAUUCAAGUGUUUAUUAGAAAGCAAACAUCAAAAUUGAAGCAUGAGCCAUUUAAAGUAAAACUGGUGAAAAUCAAUUUUUUGUCAUGGGAGAGCAACAAAACUUCACAUUGAUUGUCGAAACAACUAAGUUCACUGGUUCAGUUUCUUUGUUGUAGAAUAUGUGGAGCACUCCUUUUUAAAAAAACUUUGUUUGCUAAAAAUUAAGUUCCCACUUAACAAUUUUUAUACAAGUUGUUCCAGGACAUUGGUUACAUUUUUCGCAACGUGUCAAUAUUCUCAUUAUUUCUGUGCCUUUUUGUUCUAUUUCUGUUAAUACAGCUUCUCUGCCCCUCCUUAGCUUGUCAUCUUUGUUUUAGGGUUGUUUUAGUGUUGACUGUUUGGUCUCAUACAGCUGAUAUAUUUAAGGAAGCACAGUAUUCACGGGUGACAUUGUUUAUUUUAUAAGCCAAUCUAUUGUUUGGAUGACAGGUGACCACCAGGAGUGGCUUCAGUUCCAAGUUCAAAGGAUAACUUAAGGGGGUAGUCUCGGCGGUUCCUCUAGUCUCUAUUGGUCCAGGAAGUCUCGCCGUUUUCGUGAAUUUGAUUUUCAUUCUGCAUUUUCUCUGUUUCUGUCCGGGACCUUCUAUUGUGUCCCUGGUCAGAAUGGUUGGUGGUGGUAUCCUGGUACCCUCUAGUUCUUCUGGUCUUAGGCUACACGAGGCUGUGGCUUAUAUGGACCCUGAAGGCACAGUGGUUAAGAGCUUGGUGGUCAGCCAAAAGGCCCGAAUUUCGAUUCCACCAACUGCUCCUUGCAAACCCUGUGGGGCAGUUCUACUCUGUCCUGUAGGGUCACUAUGAGUCGGAAUCGACUCGACGGCAAUGGGUAUUAGUCCUGCGGACUAGUUUCUUCUUUGAGUCUUUGGUUUCUUUCUUUUUCUUUUGUUCCAGAUGAGUAGAGACCAAUAGUUGUAUCUUAGAUGGCCACUUGCAAGCCUUUAAGACCCCAGACGCUGCUCACCAAACUAGGAUGUAGAACAUUAUCUUUACCAACUAUGUUAUGCCAAUUGACCGAGUUGUCCCUCAAGACUAUGGCUCCAAGCCUUCAAACCUAGGAAUUCAAUCCCGCGAGGUGUUUGGUUAUG